CGAACGGGUGAGUAAUAUAUCGGAACGUGCCCAAUAGUGGGGGAUAGCCCGGCGAAAGCCGGAUUAAUACCGCAUACGACCUGAGGGUGAAAGCGGGGGAUCGCAAGACCUCGCGCUAUUGGAGCGGCCGAUAUCAGAUUAGCUAGUUGGUGGGGUAAAGGCCUACCAAGGCGACGAUCUGUAGCUGGUCUGAGAGGACGACCAGCCACACUGGGACUGAGACACGGCCCAG
RNAcentral lists this ribosomal RNA (232 nucleotides) under uncultured bacterium. Its description in RNAcentral is "partial 16S ribosomal RNA". It matches the Rfam family "Bacterial small subunit ribosomal RNA", at positions 99 to 334 of the family's 1533-position model. The record is from RNAcentral.